Molecule: long non-coding RNA, 1230 nt
Organism: Scylla paramamosain (green mud crab)
Lineage: Eukaryota; Metazoa; Arthropoda; Malacostraca; Decapoda; Portunidae
Exons: 5
Source: RefSeq, a predicted model, not a curated record
GCCGCCGCGAGUCCUGCCUGAGGCAGGCGUUUGUUUCAUUCUGUGCUUUCUGGAACACUUUUUGUGGUCAAGAUGAUACGAAACUGCCGAGCCCAAACACAAACCGUGUUCCUCAUUACUAAGCAGAAUGCAGCUGCGCUAGGAAGCCACCGCUGCUGCCGCCCCCGCACGCUGCCAAAUGUACUGGCCUGACCACGCCUCCAGGGAGCAUGGUGCACGUGAUUCAGUGUCACGCGUCGAGGAAUCUGGGACACAACCGCAGCGUCAGCAGGCCCUUAGACCAUUCUUCAGUAGUCACCAGCAGGAUACCUCGAAAAAAAAAGAAGAAAACCAUACACCCAGCCAUCCAAACAACAAACCUCAAAGUAAGCCAUCCACCCAAGAGACCAUCCAGCCAGCCAGACAGUCAAUGAACCUUCCAAUAAAACAACCACUCAGCCAGACAGCCAGCUACAGAACCAGAUAGCCAAAGAACCUUCCAGCAGCAGAUCCAGCCAAUGAACCUUCCAGUGUCAGAUCCAGCCAGACAAACAGCCAGCCAUACGCCAAAGCCUCCAGCCAUCCAGCCAGCCAGACAGCUAGCAAGCCAUCCAGUUACAUAUCCAUCCAGUCUUCCAGCCAUCCAGACAACUAGCUAAUCUUCCAGUAACAAAUCCAGCUAGUCAUCCAGCCAGCCAGACAACCAGCGAACCUUCCAGUAACAAAUCCACCCAGCCAGUCAUCCAGCCAGUCAUCCACCAGAGGCAGCAGCCAUCCAGCCAUCAGGGCAAUCAGCGGCCGCCACCACCGCCACCGCCGCCGCGACAACACCCUGGGCACGGCGAUGAGGCGGCGCGGCGAUAGGAUCAAGCCGCCGCCACCCGCUGAUUAAUGUCCACCCUUGCCGACAGGUGGCGCUGAUCAAUUAUAAUGUGCCUCGCCCGCUGCCUGCCGCCUCACACCUCCGCCGGGCACACCUCUCCCGGGUCACACCUUAUUGCGUCACCAGCCCUCAUUCGUCUGUUGGGUCUUAUUUGUCUUUUAGCUCUGUUUUGUUUGAUUUGUCGAGGGUGAUGCGAAAUUAUCUUAAGGUCGUGUUUUUUGUUUUUUUUUAUGUAUUGGGCACACCUCUCCCUGGCCACACCUUAUUGUGUCACCUCCCCUAUUCGUCUUUUGGGAUUUGUUUGUCACUCAGAUUAGUUUUGUUCGGUUUGUGUGUGAGAUCAUGGUGGUAAUAAAACUGUAUCUUAA